AUCGAACGCUGGCGGCAGGCCUAACACAUGCAAGUCGAACGGUAACAGGAAACAGCUUGCUGUUUCGCUGACGAGUGGCGGACGGGUGAGUAAUGUCUGGGAAACUGCCUGAUGGAGGGUGAUAACUACUGGAAACGGUAGCUAAUACCGCAUAACGUCGCAAGACCAAAGAGGGGGACCCUCGGGCCUCUUGCCAUCGGAUGUGCCCAGAUGGGCUUAGCUUUUUGGUGGGGUAACGGCUCACCAAGGCGACGAUCCCUAGCUGGUCUGAGAGGAUGACCAGCCACACUGGAACUGAGACAGGGUCCAGACUCCUACGGGAGGCAGCAGUGGGGAAUAUUGCGCAAUGGGGGCGAGCCUGAUGCAGCCAUGCCGGGUGUAUGAAGAAGGCCUUAGGGUUGUAAAGUACUUUCAGCGGGGAGAAAGGGAGUAAAGUUAAUACCUUGGCUCAUUGACGUUACCCGCAGAAGAAGCACCGGCUAACUCCGUG
This 490-nucleotide ribosomal RNA is filed under the name uncultured bacterium. RNAcentral describes it as "partial 16S ribosomal RNA". It matches the Rfam family "Bacterial small subunit ribosomal RNA", at positions 30 to 507 of the family's 1533-position model. The record is from RNAcentral.